ACAAAUAAAAAAAUAUUCUGUAAUCUUAUUAUUUUAGGAUCUUAUCCGUAUAAGAUAUUAAAUUAUUAAACAUUAAUGAAAGAAUUGAUAAAAGAUUGGUACUCAUACUCGAGUCUCUAAUAAAAUUUCAAACUAAGAAUAUAUUUUUCUAAAGGAUAUAUAUUUCUAAAGGAGACAAAUUUAAGAAAAGAUUCAAAUCAGUUUUAAAUCCAUACAGAUUUAAGAAUUUAUUUAAUAAAAAGAUGAAAAAAAAAAAAAGAAAAUGAUCUAGGAAUAUCCACCAAUGAUAAAUUUAUCGGUGACUGCUAAAAAAAAAAAAUUCAAAAGAGAAAAGAAGAAAAAGAGA
Molecule: unclassified non-coding RNA, 346 nt
Filed under: Hevea brasiliensis (rubber tree)
Lineage: Eukaryota; Viridiplantae; Streptophyta; Magnoliopsida; Malpighiales; Euphorbiaceae
Source: RNAcentral